UGCUUGCACCGGGGAUUAGUGGCGAACGGGUGAGUAACACGUGAGUAACCUGCCCUUGACUCUGGGAUAAGCCUGGGAAACCGGGUCUAAUACCGGAUACGACCUGUCACCGCAUGGUGGUGGGUGGAAAGAUUUUUUGGUUUUGGAUGGACUCGCGGCCUAUCAGCUUGUUGGUGAGGUAAUGGCUCACCAAGGCGACGACGGGUAGCCGGCCUGAGAGGGUGACCGGCCACACUGGGACUGAGACACGGCCCAGACUCCUACGGGAGGCAGCAGUGGGGAAUAUUGCACAAUGGGCGAAAGCCUGAUGCAGCGACGCC
This 320-nucleotide ribosomal RNA is filed under the name Arthrobacter globiformis. RNAcentral describes it as "bacterial SSU rRNA". It matches the Rfam family "Bacterial small subunit ribosomal RNA", at positions 77 to 398 of the family's 1533-position model. Lineage: Bacteria; Bacillati; Actinomycetota; Actinomycetes; Micrococcales; Micrococcaceae. The record is from RNAcentral.